UGAGGAAUUUUGCGCAAUGGGAGCAAUCCUGACGCAGCAACGCCGCGUGGGUGAUGAAGGCCUUCGGGUCGUAAAGCCCUGUCAGGUGGGAAGAAUGUCCAGAGACUAAACAGGUUUCGGGAGUGACGGUACCACCAGAGGAAGCACCGGCUAACUCCGUGCCAGCAGCCGCGGUAAUACGGCGGGUGCAAGCGUGAUUCGGAAUUACUGGGCGUAAAGCGCGUGUAGGCGGUCCUGCAAGUCAGAUGUGAAAUCCCCGGGCUUAACCCGGGAAGGGCGGUGGAAACUGCAGGUCUUGAGUACUGGAGAGGAUGGGGGAAUUCCCGGUGUAGAGGUGAAAUUCGUAGAGAUCGGGAGGAAUAUCAGUGGCGAAGGCGCCCAUCUGGACGGUAACUGACGCUGAGACGCGAAAGCGUGGGGAGCAAACA
Molecule: ribosomal RNA, 428 nt
Filed under: uncultured prokaryote
Description: bacterial SSU rRNA
Rfam family: Bacterial small subunit ribosomal RNA
Source: RNAcentral